AUUAGUUUUUUAAUUGAAGGCUAGAAUGAAUGGUUGGACAAGAAAUAAUCUGUCUUAAAUUAAUAUAUUGAAUUUAACUUUUAAGUGAAAAGGCUUAAAUAAUCUGAAGGGACGAUAAGACCCUAUAAAACUUUAUAUUUAAGAAUGAUUAAUGAGUUUUGUUUNUAAGGUUAUUAUUUUUGAGAUAUUUGGUUGGGGCGACAAGAAUAGAAGAAAAAGUAACUGUUUUUUUUUAUAACAAAAAUGUUUGGGUUAAUGAUCCUAAAAUGGAUUNAAAGAUUAAGUUACUUUAGGGAUAACAGCGUAAUUUUCUUUAAGAGUUCUUAUCAAUAAGAAAGUUUGCGACCUCGAUGUUGAAUUAAAGGUUCUUUA
Molecule: ribosomal RNA, 372 nt
Filed under: Cambarus pecki
Lineage: Eukaryota; Metazoa; Arthropoda; Malacostraca; Decapoda; Cambaridae
Description: partial large subunit ribosomal RNA
Source: RNAcentral